GACGAACGCUGGCGGCGUGCUUAACACAUGCAAGUCGAACGGAAAGGCCCUGCUUUUGUGGGGUGCUCGAGUGGCGAACGGGUGAGUAACACGUGAGUAACCUGCCCUUGACUUUGGGAUAACUUCAGGAAACUGGGGCUAAUACCGGAUAGGAGCUCCUGCUGCAUGGUGGGGGUUGGAAAGUUUCGGCGGUUGGGGAUGGACUCGCGGCUUAUCAGCUUGUUGGUGGGGUAGUGGCUUACCAAGGAUUUGACGGGUAGCCGGCCUGAGAGGGUGGCCGGCCCCAGUGGGACUGAGAUACGGCCCAGACGCCUACGGGAGGCAGGAGUGGGGAAUAUUGCACAAUGGGCGGAGGCAUGAAGCAGCAACGCCGCGUGCGGGAUGACGGCCUUCGGGUUGUAAACCGUUUUCGCCUGUGACGAAGCGUGAGUGACGGUAAUGGGUAAAGAAGCACCGGCUAACUACGU
Molecule: ribosomal RNA, 467 nt
Filed under: uncultured bacterium
Lineage: Bacteria
Description: partial 16S ribosomal RNA
Rfam family: Bacterial small subunit ribosomal RNA
Source: RNAcentral